Molecule: long non-coding RNA, 6031 nt
Filed under: Sorghum bicolor (sorghum)
Lineage: Eukaryota; Viridiplantae; Streptophyta; Magnoliopsida; Poales; Poaceae
Description: long non-coding RNA (SBIC_LNC010257)
Source: RNAcentral
UAGACUGUUCUAUCUUUUAACUACUCAAGACACAAGAGGCGGUUACAAGUCCCAUGGUAAAAGGUAAAAUAAGUAAGUUUUAUGUCUUGAUAGUUUACUCUAACUCAGAGAUGAGACCUCAUUUAAAAGCAUGUCUACCGUCAAUUUUUAAAGGUAUUGCAGCAACUUCUGAUCCAUCAAUGAGAUUAUCCUUGCUCAGGGACGAGCAAAAGGUAAGCUUGGGGGAUUUUGUUGACGGACCUUAAGUAUCAAAUUUAAUUAACAAAUAACAAAGAAAAGGAUCCAAAUGCAACUGACAUCCAGACUUAGGGUUUUAUCUGACAGAAUUCCACGAGUUUUGGUGUUUGUCUAUUUCUGCAGGGGGUUAUUAGGAAUUAUGGAAGAAAGGCCCACACGUCGGGUUUACAUAGACGUGCUGCGCAAUCUUACAACUAGAAGAGUCCAGAAGCCACGGGAACGAACGGGAGACCGGACGGGUGUAACACCCAAAAAUCUGUUUUAAAUUAAUCGAAAUUAAUUAAGCAUUUUUGUGCACAUUUAAAUUCAGCACUUAAAUAAUUUUUGGUCAAAAUUAAAAUUUAUCAUAAGAUUAGAAACUUGUUUAUGCACUCAUGCUGAAGAAUAUUUUAUUUUGUAUUGUUUGCCUCUGGUUUGAAUUUAUUUGCACUCAAAAUUUUAUUUGGAAAAGGUUUUUGGAAAAGAAAACAGAAAAAGAAAAAAAAAGAAGAAAACCCCAGCCGAACCCCCCUCACCCUCGCACUCGGCGCGCUAGCGGUCAGCCAACCCACUGGCUUCCGUUCCCGCCCCGGCCCAACACCCCCUCCCUUUUCUUUUUCCCCUACGCGAGGCCCAGCAACCCCGCGGCCCAUCUGCCCCGCGGGCGCGCCCCUCCUUCUCCCUUGACCCGCUGACGGAUGGGCCCCGUUCUUCUGUCCCUGACGCGUGGGGCCCCCGGAACAGCGCUGGCCUUCUCCUUCCUCUGCUCGUAACCGAGUCGGGCACAACACCACCGAAUUUAAUCCCGGGAACAGCGCGAUUUGCUUGCCUUUUGCGCGAAACAAAUCCUUAUAAAGCCCUAGGAACCUUUCCCCGCACCCCUUUUCCCUACUCAAGCAUUAUUUCUAAGCCCUAGCCAUCGUCUCUGCGUAGUUGGAUCUCGCCGAAAGCCACACUCCUUUCCCCGUCGCGACGCGAGCUUCUCGCUCCCUCUUGGCCCGACCAAAGGCGCUAGGUGAGUUUGCGGGCUUCUCCUCCUUCUUCCCGUGCCCGCGGCUUGGUUUUUGGUGCACAGAAUCGCGAGAACGCAGGCGCCGGCGAGCUUAGCAGCGACGCAAAUGGUGCACCACCGCGCCGGAGGACAGGAGCCGGCCGGCCCGCCGCCAGCGCCCCCUGCGCGUUUUCCACCGUCCGUUUGAAGAUCUGCGGCUGAGAUUAGAAGAAAACGUUUCGGCCAGCAUUUUUGCUAAAGAGUCCCUGGACUUUUCUAGGAAUUAACCCGCGGUCCAUGAGGGCUAUAAUGGCUCUGGCUUUAGCUCAGUAUGGAGACCUUUUCUAGCUUGUUAGAGGUUACCCGAAAGGGUGGAGGGGCUGAACCGAAACGGGUAUAGUGCGAGCCCCUGUCCCUCUGUGUAUAGGCUGCGCGUCAUUGUGCUAUUCAGAAGGGGGGUAUCUAUAUCUGCUCGCAAAGGAAACCUUGCGGCCCUAACAUGUUAGACGAACUUUUGAAAGGCUUCAUAGUGAUCCCUGCCGACCUCUCUGGGAUGGGGGUUAAGAGAUUUGCUACCUCGGGCGAAAGGGUAAAUCAUGACUCAUGGGUAAAGAUGUACAACCUCUGCAGAGUGUAAAACUGGUAUACCAGCCGAGCUCACGGUCAAGAGCGGCCUUGGGGACAUCUAUAUUAAGAAGAUGAGCUUAUUAUGUUAUUAUGUUCAUUUGAUUAUCGUUUAUGCUAAGAAUUAAUUAUGCUUACACUUGGUCACAGGAUUAAUGGAUUAUUUAUGCUACCUUGACAUUUGCUAUUUAAUUAUGAAUAUGCUAUCCACUAUUAAAAGAUAAAUGCAGUCAAACCAGUGUCAGCUAUUUGAGCCUCAUGAACCCCUAGUUAUACUUGUUGAGUACGAAAUGUGCUCACUCUUGCAAUUUUCCAACACCUCAGGAUAUAAUAAUGAAGAUGACUGGAAUGAGGAUUACCGUUAUGAGUACUAGGUUUGGAGUCAACCAGUCAACAGUGUCCCUGUGUGGAGCUUCCGUCAAGAGCGUUGUUUACUUUAUGUUAUCAUUUUUGUAUGAGACUAUGUGAUAUAUUGUAUUCCGCUAUGUAAUAAACACUGCAAUGGUACAUUUGAGAUUUGUCUACUUAUGUGUGCGACUGUUUCUGAGGCACAUAUGACUCUUUUAUACAUCCAAUUUUGUUCUUAAAAUAUGGGUGUGACAAAUUGGUAUCAAAGCUUUGUUGACUGUCGGACGCAAGUCUAGUUAGAAAUCAGUCGUCUUAAGGUUUUGAAAUUUCUAUAAAAUCCUUGUUCUAUAAACCUUGAUAUUUUCUCCUAUACUAUAUCCUUUCCACUGAUAUUCAUCUUCACCUUGAUGCUUAUUUUAAAGACUUGUUCUCAUCCCCACUCCUUGCUUGAUAUGCUUUUAGAACCUUGUCUUACCACUUUCUGGCGACAUUUAAAUAGGAGUUUUAGGAUCUUUGCCCUUAAUAGGAAGAGAACGCUAGUACCGCAAGUUGAGUCAAUGCUUGAAGUGUGAAACUUUGAUGCUUGCUUUGGUUUGUUAUUAUGCUUAUGCUUGAUUGGGAUCUUUGGAAUGAGUGUAAUGAUCUUGUGGAUUUCCUCUACAAUUUCAUUUAGUUUAUAGGCUUAAGGCAUAAGGAUUAAUGAACUAAACAGUUGGGGUUGGUUAAAAUUCUGUUUCUGUCCUUUGCUGUUUUCUGGAGCAGUCUGCAAAUAAUCUGGUACAUCUCAAAAUCUGUUAGUGCAAUGUUCAUCAAAUUUUUCUGAGAACAAGUGGACUUUCAUAUCUUUCCAAUGCCUCAAGAAUGACAUUAUUAUCUGUUAUGAGCUGUGAGUUAUGGCUGUUCAAAGAUGAGGUUUCUGCGCAGUCUGGAAUUCUGGAACAAUUUCGGUUAUGCCCAGUUUUGACUAAUUUAACCACAGAAUCUGUUAAUAUGGUCUAAAUGAAAGUUGUAGAAAAUUUCUUUAUCUUUCCAACAGUUUAUAGCAUGUAUCCUUUUAAAUUAUGGAACUCAUGAUAUGAAUGAUUUUCUGAUCUGCUGAUGUCGGAUGUUACCCAGAAAAUUUCAGAUUCCGUUAACUCUUGUAAUUGUCAUGCUGGACAUUACUAAGACAUGAUUCUAUACCUUGGAAUGCAGAUGGCAGCAAGGGGAAGAGGCAGAGGCAGAGGCCGUGGCAAUGGUGACAAUGCCCCAAUUACUGUGGAGGAACUUAUGCAAACUCAAAAGGAGAUGAUGCACGUCUUCAUGCAGCACCUACAGCAGCAACCUCCACCACCCCCACCACCUGUUCAUGUGAGAGAUAAGCGUGGCGAGUUUAUGAAGGGAAGACCUCCUGUAUUUACACACUCAGCUGAUCCCAUAGAGGCAGAUGAUUGGUUACGUGCUGUGGAGAGGCAACUGAACAUAGCAUAGUGCAAUGAUCUGGAGAAGGUGUACGUAUGCUUCUGGACAGCUUCAGGGGGCAGCUCAGACAUGGUGGGAGUCAUAUCAAGCUGCUCGUCCCAACAAUGCUCCUCCUGUCACUUGGCUGGAAUUCUAUAGAGAUUUCAGAGCUCGACAUAUAAAUGAGGGAAUGAUGGAGCUCAAGCAAGAAGAAUUCAUAUCACUCAGGAUGGGCUCUAUGACUGUGGCAGAGUAUCAUGACACGUUUGAGCAGUUGGCCCGCUAUGCCCCGAAUGAAGUCAAGGAAGAUGCUGAUAAGCAGCAUCUUUUCAUGAAAGGUCUUUACUAUGAGCUCAAGUUGCAGUUGGCUGGAAACACCUAUCCUACCUUCCAGGCACUUGUGAAUCGUGCCAUUGUGCUUGAUAAUAUGCGUAAGGGUCCGGACAAGAAGAGAAGGAUGCUAGCACAAGGUUCUGGAGGCAACAACCGCCAACGUUUCAAUUCAUAGCAAGGCGAUCAACAGAGGUUCCAGGGACCGGUUGGUCAAUGGGAUCGCAACCAACAACCUCAGCGUACUCCUAAUCAACAACAGAAUGGUCAGCAGAUUCCCCGCUCGGGAAAUUCAAAUGCCACCUCUAUGAAGAGAAGUGCUCCCAAUACCCCUACUAGGUGUUUUCGCUGUGGAAAAGAAGGUCAUAUGUCAUAUGAUUGCCCGGAGAGAUUCAACCAGCAGAACAACAAUCAAAAGUCUAAUUCUCAUGGAGCAAAGGUGAACCAUGUGGCUGCAGAGACAGUACAAGAGGGACCAGAAAUUAUGAUGGGUAAGUUCAGUAUCAACUCCAUCCCCGCUAUAGUUUUAUUUGAUUCUGGAGCUUCGCAUACAUUCAUAUCACAAGCAUUUGUUAGAGUUCAUAGCAUACCACUAGUUGCCAUGAAAACCCAUAUGCUAGUAAACUCACCGGGAGGGACUAUACCAGUUUCAUAUUGUUGCCCCUCAGCAAGUCUUUCUUUAAGGGGGGUAGAUUUUUCGGUUAGUCCCAUGGUUAUGAGAACCUCACGCAUAGAUGUCAUAUUGGGUUUGGAUCGGAUGAAGAAAUAUACUACGGAGAUUAAGUGCAAAGAGAAAGUAGUUGUUGUGACAACACCAAAGGGAGAGAGAAUCAGUGUAGAUGUAGCCGUACAGGCUCCACCCACAGCUACAGUAAACCAGCGGGAUGAUGAUGUUAAUCUUCAGGAAUGUGUAGGGAUUAAAUCUUCAGAUGAAUUUUCAGAUAAUUUACCAGGUAUGCUACCUGGCUAGAGAUAUUGAGAUUGCUAGUACAAUGGAAUUAGUAUUUAGAGACAGAAUAAACUUGGGAAAGAGAGAAUGAUUGGAGAGAAUCAUAUCCACAACUGUUUGUUUACGCACUGCUCAAUCUCGAGGACGAGUUUCUUUUAAGGGGGGUAGAAUUUGUAACACCCAAAAAUCUGUUUUAAAUUAAUAGAGAUUAAUUUGAAUUAAUUAAGCAUUUUUGUGCACAUUUAAAUUCAGCGCUUAAAUAUUUUUUGGUCAAAAUUAAAAUUUAUCAUAAGAUUAGAAACUUGUUUAUGCACUCAGGCUGAAGAAUAUUUUAUUUUGUAUUGUUUGCCUCUGGUUUGAAUUUAUUUGCACUCAAAAUUUUAUUUGGAAAAGGUUUUUGGAAAAGAAAACAGAAAAAGAAAAAAAAAAGAAGAAAACCCCAGCCGAACCCCCCCCUCACCCUCGCACUCGGCCCGCUAGCGGUCAGCCAACCCACUGGCUUCCCUUCCCACCCCGGCCCAACACCCCCUCCCUUUUCCUUUUCCCCUACGCGAGGCCCAGCAACCCCGCGGCCCAUCUGCCCCGCGGGCGCGCCCCUCCUUCUCCCUUGACCCGCUGACAGAUGGGCCCCGUUCUUCUGUCCCUGACACGUGGGCCCUCGGAACAGCACUGGCCUUCUCCUUCCUCUGCUCGUAACCGAGCCGGGCACAACACCGCCGAAUCCAAUCCCGGGAACAGAGCGAUUUGCUUGCCUUUUGCGUGAAACAAAUCCUUAUAAAGCCCUAGGAACCUUUCCCCACACCCCUUUUCCCUACUCAAGCAUUAUUUCUAAGCCCUAACCAUCGUCUCUGCGUAGUUGGAUCUCGCCGAAAGCCACACUCCUUUCCCCGUCGCGACACGAGCUUCUCGCUCCCUCUCGGGUCGACCAAAGGCACUAGGUGAGUUCGCGGGCUGCUCCUCCUUCUUCCCGUGCCCGCGGCUUGGUUUUUGGUGCACAAAAUCGCGAGAACGCAGACGCCGGCGAGCUUAGCGGCGGCGCAAAUGGUGCACCACCGCGCCGGAGGACAGGAGCCGGCCGGCCCGCCGCCAGCGCCCCCUGCGCGUUUUCCACCGUCCGUUUGAACAUCUGCGGC